Molecule: long non-coding RNA, 829 nt
Filed under: Homo sapiens (human)
Lineage: Eukaryota; Metazoa; Chordata; Mammalia; Primates; Hominidae
Description: HSALNT0371403
Source: RNAcentral
GUGGGGUUCAUCCCACCCAGACCACAGAGACUGAAAAUAAGAAAGGGGUGAGGCCUAAGGGACAAUCAGGAUGUUUUUCAGAGAGAAGUGUGGAUGCUGGACAGGAAGAACCACAGAUACCAGAUACGGGUACUGUUGUAACUCUGUUCUCCAUGAAAACUGCGUAUCUUCUGGAUACGGAAGGAUCACACUGCACAGAGUGCUGGACUUGCAGGAGCCCCGCUUCUCAACCUCCAUCGCUUUAUGAAUGAAUUCACCAGAAAGAAAAGGAAGAAUCAACACUUUCAGAGAUGGAGCCUGUUGAGCCACAGUACCAACUAGUCAAUGCUGAAUCGACUUCUCCCUUUCUACAUUGCCUGAGAGAAGUCAUUGGGGAAUACUCUGUACACGAAUUUUCACUGUUGGGGAAAACAGGUAUUGGAAGUGAUGGGUAGACCUCAGUUUGUAUGCAUUGUGUUAAUUACUAUUUCUUUGCUUUUCCUUUUUUUGUGCGGUUGCAGAGAGUCAAGGGAUUGGAUUGUGGAUUGCAUUGGUGGUUUUCCUCAGUUUCCUCAUCUUCUCCACAAGUUUCUACAUAUCGAAUGCAGAGCAGCCCUUCUUCAAAGGACCUCCUACGGAAGCUGCUAAGGAACUCAGUCUGUAGCUCUGCGUGGAGCCAUGUGUAAACACUGAACUGAGACCUGCCACCUCCUACUACCUAAGGGCCCAUUUUCAUCUGAUAUCAUCCCCCAGAAACAAACUCAUGAUGACUUCCAUGUUUUUUUUAGAUUAGAUACAUGGAGAAUUUUCCUUUCCCUUAGAAUUAAAAUCCUGCAUUCUAAUUUUCAGU